CGUAGGGUGCGAGCGUUAAUCGGAAUUACUGGGCGUAAAGCGUGCGCAGGCGGUUAAAUAAGACAGAUGUGAAAUCCCCGGGCUUAACCUGGGAACUGCGUUUGUGACUGUGUGACUAGAGUACGGCAGAGGGGGGUGGAAUUCCUGGUGUAGCAGUGAAAUGCGGAGAUAUCAGGAGGAACAUCGAUGGCGAAGGCAGCCCCCUGGGCCUGUACUGACGCUCAUGCACGAAAGCGUGGGGAGCAAACAGG
This 251-nucleotide ribosomal RNA is filed under the name uncultured bacterium. Its description in RNAcentral is "partial 16S ribosomal RNA". It matches the Rfam family "Bacterial small subunit ribosomal RNA", at positions 526 to 776 of the family's 1533-position model. The record is from RNAcentral.